CACAAAGACAGACGCUUCACGUUCCUGUGGAGCAGCAGAACCGCAGCAGAACCACCACAUGUUCUAUGGGUUCUUAUCAUCAGAACCUGAACUCCUGGACUGAACCGGCGCAGUUUUGUUUAAACCCAGAAACCCUGCAGAUGUCUGAAAGGGGGCGUGGCCACUCUUUCAGGUGAGUCCACCUGUGCUCAGACGGUUUCCUCCCUCAGAACCGCUGGAAGCAGACGGUUUUGCUGGAGAACCGACUCAGUGUUCUGUGUUUAUGAAUAAAGGUUUCAAUCAAUCAUUUUUGACAGUCAGGUACAAAGAAAACAAGAAAUCCUUUCAGUUCAGCUUUAAUGAGGUUAGUUUUCACUCAUGGAAACUGUUGAUUUAUUUACCUUUUAAGGUUCAUAUUUUUGAUGUUUACAUGUUUCAGUUUUUAUUCCUAAACAAAGAUGUGGUUUAAAGGAAAACUUUAUUCCUACUCUGUAAUUAGAAAUAAACACUUUUAAGCUCCUGGAUACAGAACAUUGAGUCUCACUUCAAACUCUAUAAACAUUAUUUUGUUUUCAAUCAGAAGAAGAAUAACUGUGGUGUUUAUGUCAUUUUAUAAAAUAAUUGAUUUUAUUUUCUAAAGUUGUUCUCGUCUGUUUUUCAGACUUUAUUAAACUAUUUAAAUAAAAAAUGUUUGUUGUUUUUCUGGAAUCGGAACAGAAACGGUUCCUUUCUGCCGGAAACGCUCCGUAAAUGUCGCGGCUCUUUCAGGUGAAUUUAGGAGGCGCGCGGACGCGGGCGCGCGCCCCGCUUCGGGUCAGCUCCGGACGGUUCGGCUUCAUUAAACAGAACAUCGAGUACUUUCUGGAUCCGGACUGGUUUCCGCGGUGACGCAGAUGAAAUUGACUCUGUUUUGUCCCUUCUGCGCUUCCGUAAUCGUCGUUUACCGCUACUUUGAUGCUGGGAUGGAAAUCUGCGAUGUUUUCUCUUCCAUCCUCUCCGCGGGUGCGUUACAUAUGUUCACCCGGGGAGCCCGCCUGCGCAGGGGGGUCCCCUUUAGCCCCUACUUCCUCCUCAGUUCCGGUUUUAAAUCGGUUAGCCCCCCCGCUCAGACACAAUCCCGUCGUUUAAACCCCGCAGGACGGACGCCGGGACGGUCCCGCACCCCUCCCGGUCUGGACGCGGACACUGAGCAGACGUUUGGAGCGGACCCGCGAACCCCAGCUCGCUUUGCUGGUGGAUCUGCUGAUGUGCAGAGUCUUUCCUCUGAAUGCAGCACGGUUCAGUCAGUCAGUGGGGAUCGAACCAACGUCUCCAUAACUGUGUCCUCAUCAGCAGAAACGUACCCCCCAUGUUCCAGGACUGGACCCUCUGUUGGAGCAUCUUCCUCAUCAUCAGCAGUUGCUGCUGUCAGUCCUUCAUGUUGAUGAAGACGCGUCUGAAGCCUUCAUCCUCCUCAUGGGCCGCAGAACUUAAGGUUCUGCUGCUCGUUUUCUGGAGGAUGGGAUGUUCUCCAUCAAGCAGACAUUUACGGUCAGCUUGUUCCCUUCAGUUUUCUGCUGAACCUGGGGUCCGUUUGUUCCACCCCCCACAUGGAGACCUGGUUCUGGAGGUGUUCCUGGUUUCCUGUUGGAUCUGCUCGCACGUCCAUCUUCAGGGACCUGAGCUCCGCUGACGGCCUGCAGAACCUGCUGGUUCUGCCUGCGUUUCUGGUUCUGCCUGCAUUUCUCCUCUCCGUCAGCAGAUGGCGCCCAAACCCCACGUGUGGUCUUCAUCAGGGAUGAAGAUCUGAUUCUCAGCUUCCAUUUCUCAUACCAAAGCAGAUCCGCUGUUUGAGUCCAGAAUUCCUGAAGGUUCUGGUGGUUCUCCUUAUCUGGACUGGGUUCUCGUCUCAACAUUUAUGAAAGCAUGAAGGAGAAGGUCCUGCAGUGGGGGGUGGGGAGGGGUCCUGUCUGGAGCUGCUGACAGCAGAUGGCAGAAGAAGGGAAUGAUGGGAAAACGCUCAUUAGCAUCAGGGAGAGUGUGACUGAUGAUUUCCCCCGAGCUGCAGAACCAUGAGAUGGUUCUAGGCUCCGUGCACGUGAGCGUGUGCACGUUUGGACUCCUCUUUUGGGGAUUAAAGUCAGUUUUUUUUCUCAGGAAA
This is a non-coding RNA of Oryzias latipes (Japanese medaka), 2119 nucleotides long. The record is from RefSeq and is a predicted model, not a curated record. NCBI's taxonomy places the organism in Eukaryota, Metazoa, Chordata, Actinopteri, Beloniformes, Adrianichthyidae.